Molecule: ribosomal RNA, 497 nt
Filed under: uncultured bacterium
Lineage: Bacteria
Description: partial 16S ribosomal RNA
Rfam family: Bacterial small subunit ribosomal RNA
Source: RNAcentral
GAUGAACGCUGGCGGCGUGCCUAACACAUGCAAGUCGAACGAACAGGCGCGGCUCUUGCUCCUCUCACGUUAGCGGCGGACGUGUGAGUCACGCGUGGAUAACCUCCCUAUAUGACUGAGAUCUCUUCGAGAAACCGGAGCAAAUACCAGAUAAUCUCUUGAAGCGCAGUGUUGAAUAGUGAAAUUCGGGUUUGCGGUCACUUCUCGAUGGAUCCGCGCCUCGUUGGCUAGUUGGUAAGGUAACGGCUUAGCACGGCUACGACGCGUGGACGAGCUGAGAGGGUGGUCGGCCACACUGGAGGGGAGACACGGUCCAGACUGCUACGGGACGCAGCAGACUGGAAUCGGCCGCAGUGGGCGAAAGUGUGACGGAGCAACGCGGCGGGUGUGACGACGGCGCUCGGAGCGUGAAACUCUGUUAUUAGUGAAGAACAAAUGUGUAAGGAGCUAUGCACGUCGUGACGGUACCGGAUCAGGAAGCCACGGCUAACUACGUG